GGCAUCACAUGGGAGUCUUGUGAAAUAUUGGUCUCUCUUAACUUAUCUCUUAUUGAGUUGGACCUGAGUUACAACAGACUGAAGGAUUAUGGAGUGAAGCUGCUUGCUGCUGGAUUGUUGAGCCUACACUGUAAACUGGAGAAACUGAGGCUGAAUCGAUGUUGUCUGACAGAAGACUGUUGUGAAGAGUUGGCCUCAGCUCUCAGCUCAACCUCCUCUCACCUGAGAGAGCUGGACCUGAGUCACAAUGACCUGCAGGAUUCAGGAGUGAAGUUGCUCUCUGCUGGACUAAGGCAUCAAAACUGUAGACUAGAGAUACUGAGGCUGUUAUUCUGUAAAGUCACAGAGGAAGGCUGUGCUGUUCUGGCUUCAGCUCUGUGAUCAAACCCCUCCCACCUGAGAGAGUUGGACCUGAGCUUCAAUCACCCAGGAGACACAGGUGUGAAGCUGCUUUCUGCUAAACUGGAUGAGGCCCAUUGUAAUCUCAAUGUGGACCAUACUGAAGAGAUCUGGAUAGAACCACAGCUGCUUAAGAAGUAUGCCUGUGAGCCCACUCUAGACCUAAACACAGCAAGCAGACUCCUAUCUCUGUCUCAAGGAAACUGACCACCCCGAGAGAUUUGACUGUCCACAGGUGCUGUGUACAGAUGGUCUGAGUGGGCGCCAUUACUGGCGGGCAGAGGGGAGUGGGCACUUGACUGUCAUAGGAGUGGCAUAUAAAGGAAUCAGCAGAAAAGGAAAUGGACGUGUCUGUAAGCUUGGAUCCAAUGACAAUUCCUGGUGUCUUGCUCUAAGUACCAUGACUCUGCCGACUACAAUAAUGAAACCACUAAAAUAACCUCCCCCCAAAACUAUCUGAGCAAAACAAGAGAGUAGGAGUUUUUUUGGACCAUCCUGCUAGAACUGUCUCCUUCUAUGAGGUCUCCUCUGACACAAUGACCCACCUUUACACUUUUCAGACCACAUUCACUGAGCCGCUCUAUCAAGCGUUUGGAAUCCAGAGUACAAACUUCUCAGUGUCUUUUGGGGUUGCCAGUAAUCCUGUAGAGGCUAAGAGGCCAUCAGUGGAAGAAUUUCAAGAAUUGGGUGGUAUUUCCUUAAUUGGAGGAUUUCUUCAUAAAGAUCUUUUCCAUUACAGAAACUGAAGAAGCACAAAUGUUUCACUAUUGCUAAUUUGACACAAUGAUUGUGGUAGAUGUUUCAAUCGUAAGAUGACCCUGAAGAAAUCACAACAGCAUUCAAGAGAGGGAAAAAUGUUUGCAUUGUGAAUUUGAAUUUUAGUUUUCUUGCAAGUGCAAAAACAACACCACUACAGCACAGAGAAAGAGGAUAAAAACAUGAAAGUCAACAUGUGAAAAUGUGUCGAUUACAACAAGAUUUAAGAGUACGUUAAACCUUACAGCUUUAGGAAAAUACCACCUACGGCACAUAGUAGCUAUUGUAGGGCACAGCUGGAUUGAAUAGGCAUACGUUUCAGGUAUAAAUGA
Salmo salar (Atlantic salmon) is the source of this 1487-nucleotide non-coding RNA. Lineage: Eukaryota; Metazoa; Chordata; Actinopteri; Salmoniformes; Salmonidae. The record is from RefSeq and is a predicted model, not a curated record.